GACUCUGUGGUGUAGGUAGCAUAAAGGUUUUUCGUGUCUUUGGUCUAGUGUUAGUGGAGUUU
This 62-nucleotide transfer RNA is filed under the name Cephalodiscus hodgsoni. RNAcentral describes it as "tRNA-Glu". Lineage: Eukaryota; Metazoa; Hemichordata; Pterobranchia; Cephalodiscida; Cephalodiscidae. The record is from RNAcentral.